This 333-nucleotide ribosomal RNA is filed under the name Triticum aestivum (bread wheat). Its description in RNAcentral is "partial small subunit ribosomal RNA". The record is from RNAcentral. Lineage: Eukaryota; Viridiplantae; Streptophyta; Magnoliopsida; Poales; Poaceae.
GUUAGAGUUAUGACUAGAGGUGGUAAAAUGACUCAGGAACCUUUGUAUCCUGACGGCCAUCCUAAGAGAAUUGAGCAAGAUUCUCAGAGAAAUAAUAUUGAUAUACCUAGUCCUUCUAAAAGGAAGAGAAAGAAAAAUGAUAGGACUUUGCAUGCUUCUAGUGAACCUGUUAUUGACACACCUGAGAAUCCCAAUGAUAUUUCUAUUUCUGAUGCUGAAACACAAUCUGGUAAUGAGCAUGAACCUAGUGAUAAUGUUAAUAAUGAUGUACAUGUUGAUGCUCAACCUAGUAAUGACAAUGAAGUAGAGAUUGAACCUACUGUUGAUCUUGAU